UACGUAGGGUGCGAGCGUUAAUCGGAAUUACUGGGCGUAAAGCGUGCGCAGGCGGUUCGUUGUGUCUGAUGUGAAAUCCCCGGGCUCAACCCGGGAACUGCAUUGGAAACUGGCGGACUUGAGUGCGGCAGAGGGGGGUGGAAUUCCGCGUGUAGCAGUGAAAUGCGUAGAGAUGCGGAGGAACACCGAUGGCGAAGGCAGCCCCCUGGGCCGACACUGACGCUCAGGCACGAAAGCGUGGGGAGCAAACAGG
This 253-nucleotide ribosomal RNA is filed under the name uncultured bacterium. Its description in RNAcentral is "partial 16S ribosomal RNA". It matches the Rfam family "Bacterial small subunit ribosomal RNA", at positions 524 to 776 of the family's 1533-position model. RNAcentral also lists the same sequence under 1 other name. The record is from RNAcentral.